RNAcentral lists this ribosomal RNA (468 nucleotides) under uncultured bacterium. Its description in RNAcentral is "partial 16S ribosomal RNA". It matches the Rfam family "Bacterial small subunit ribosomal RNA", at positions 28 to 507 of the family's 1533-position model. The record is from RNAcentral.
GACGAACGCUGGCGGCGUGCUUAACACAUGCAAGUCGAACGGAAAGGCCCUGCUUUUGUGGGGUGCUCGAGUGGCGAACGGGUGAGUAACACGUGAGUAACCUGCCCUUGACUUUGGGAUAACUUCAGGAAACUGGGGCUAAUACCGGAUAGGAGCUCCUGCUGCAUGGUGGGGGUUGGAAAGUUUCGGCGGUUGGGGAUGGACUCGCGGCUUAUCAGCUUGUUGGUGGGGUAGUGGCUUACCAAGGCUUUGACGGGUAGCCGGCCUGAGAGGGUGACCGGCCACAUUGGGACUGAGAGACGGCGCAGACUGCAACGGGAGGCAGCAGUGGGGAAUAUUGCACAAUGGGCGGAAGCCUGAUGCAGCAACGCCGCGUGCGGGAUGACGGCCUUCGGGUUGUAAACCGCUUUCGCCUGUGACGAAGCGUGAGUGACGGUAAUGGGUAAAGAAGCACCGGCUAACUACGUG